This 484-nucleotide ribosomal RNA is filed under the name uncultured bacterium. RNAcentral describes it as "partial 16S ribosomal RNA". It matches the Rfam family "Bacterial small subunit ribosomal RNA", at positions 30 to 507 of the family's 1533-position model. The record is from RNAcentral.
AUUGAACGCUGGCGGCAGGCCUAACACAUGCAAGUCGAGCGGAUGAAGGGAGCUUGCUCCUGGAUUCAGCGGCGGACGGGUGAGUAAUGCCUAGGAAUCUGCCUGGUAGUGGGGGAUAACGUCCGGAAACGGACGCUAAUACCGCAUACGUCCUGAGCGAGAAAGUUGGGGAUCUUCGGACCUCACGCUCUCAGAUGAGCCUAGGUCGGAUUAGCUAGUUGGUGGGUUAAAGGCCUACCAAGGCGACGAUCCGUAACUGGUCUGAGAGGAUGAUCAGUCACACGGGAACUGAGACACGGUCCAGACUCCUACGGGAGGCAGCAGUGGGGAAUAUUGGACAAUGGGCGAAAGCCUGAUCCAGCCAGGCCGCGUGUGUGAAGAAGGUCUUCGGAUUGUAAAGAACUUUAAGUGGGGAGGAAGGGCAGUAAGUUAAUACCUUGCUGUUUUGACGUUACCAACAGAAUAAGCACCGGCUAACUUCGUG